GCCCCCUGGGAAAACACUGACGUUCAUGCACGAAAGCGUGGGAACAAACAGGAUUAGGAUCCCUGGUAGUCCACGCCUAAAAGAUGUUGACUAGUUUUCGAGAUUUACAUCUGAGUAACGUAGCUAACGCGUGAAGUCANCCGCUUGGGGAGUACGGUCGCAAGAAUUAAAACUCAAAGGAAUUGACGGGGGACCCGCACAAGGCGGUGGAUGAUGUUGGAUUAAUUUGAUGCAACGCGAAAAACCUUACCUACCCUUGACAUGUCACUAACGAAGUAGAGAUACAUUAGGUGCUCGUAAGAGAAAAGUGAACACAGGUGCUGCAUGGCUGUUGUCAGCUCGUGUCGUGAGAUGUUUGGGUUAAGUCCCGCAACGAGCGCAACCCUUGUCUUUAGUUGCUACGCAAGAGCACUCUAAAGAGACUGCCGGUGACAAACCGGAGGAAGGUGGGGAUGACGUCAAGUCCUCAUGGCCCUUAUGGGUAGGGCUUCACACGUCAUACAAUGGUGCAUACAGAGGGUUGCCAACCCGCGAGGGGGAGCUAAUCUCAGAAAAUGCAUCGUAGUCCGGAUCGUAGUCUGCAACUCGACUACGUGAAGCUGGAAUCGCUAGUAAUCGCGGAUCAGAAUGUCGCGGUGAAUACGUUCCCGGGUCUUGUACACACCGCCCGUCAUACCAUGGGAGUGGGUUUUGCCAGAAGCCGUUAGCCUAACCGCAAGGAGGGCGACUGCCACGGCAGGGUUCAUGACUGGGGUAAAGUCGUAACAAGGUA
RNAcentral lists this ribosomal RNA (772 nucleotides) under uncultured bacterium. RNAcentral describes it as "bacterial SSU rRNA". It matches the Rfam family "Bacterial small subunit ribosomal RNA", at positions 724 to 1498 of the family's 1533-position model. The record is from RNAcentral.